This 340-nucleotide ribosomal RNA is filed under the name uncultured bacterium. Its description in RNAcentral is "bacterial SSU rRNA". It matches the Rfam family "Bacterial small subunit ribosomal RNA", at positions 28 to 354 of the family's 1533-position model. The record is from RNAcentral.
GAUGAACGCUGGCGGCGUGCUUAACACAUGCAAGUCGAGCGAAGCGCUUAAGAAAGAUUCUUCGGAUGAAUUCUUUGGUGACUGAGCGGCGGACGGGUGAGUAACGCGUGGGUAACCUGCCUCAUACAGGGGGAUAACAGUUAGAAAUGACUGCUAAUACCGCAUAAGCGCACAGUGCUGCAUGGCACAGUGUGAAAAACUCCGGUGGUGUGAGAUGGAUCCGCGUCUGAUUAGCUGGUUGGUGAGGUAACGGCCACCAAGGCGACGAUCAGUAGCGACUUGAGAGAGUGACCGGCACAUUGGGACUGAGACAGGCCCAGACUCCUACGGGAGGCAGCAG